Sapajus apella (tufted capuchin) is the source of this 202-nucleotide long non-coding RNA. RefSeq lists it as uncharacterized. The transcript is spliced from 2 exons. NCBI's taxonomy places the organism in Eukaryota, Metazoa, Chordata, Mammalia, Primates, Cebidae. The record is from RefSeq and is a predicted model, not a curated record.
AUCACCCCAGAUCACAGCCCUACAUGAACACAUGAACCCCAAUCACCCCAGAUCACUCACAGUCCUACAUGAACACACGAGCCCCAAUCACCCCAGAUCACAGCCCUACAUGAACACACAAACCCCAAUCACCCCAGAUCACUCACAGCUCUACAUGAACACACGAACCCCAAUCACCCCAGAUCACAGCCCUCCAUGAACA